UACGGAGGGUGCAAGCGUUAUCCGGAUUCACUGGGUUUAAAGGGUGCGUAGGUGGGCAGGUAAGUCAGUGGUGAAAUCUCCGGGCUUAACCCGGAAACUGCCGUUGAUACUAUUUGUCUUGAAUGUCGUGGAGGUGAGCGGAAUAUGUCAUGUAGCGGUGAAAUGCUUAGAGAUGACAUAGAACACCGAUUGCGAAGGCAGAUCACUACGCGAAUAUUGACACUGAGGCACGAAAGCGUGGGGAUCAAACAGG
RNAcentral lists this ribosomal RNA (253 nucleotides) under uncultured bacterium. RNAcentral describes it as "partial 16S ribosomal RNA". It matches the Rfam family "Bacterial small subunit ribosomal RNA", at positions 524 to 776 of the family's 1533-position model. The record is from RNAcentral.